This 498-nucleotide ribosomal RNA is filed under the name uncultured bacterium. RNAcentral's name for it is "partial 16S ribosomal RNA". It matches the Rfam family "Bacterial small subunit ribosomal RNA", at positions 28 to 507 of the family's 1533-position model. The record is from RNAcentral.
GACGAACGCUGGCGGCGUGCCUAACACAUGCAAGUCGAACGAGAGCUUCCGGUGCUUGCACUGGUCAAUCUAGUGCCCAACGGGUUAGUACCACGUGGGUAAAAUGACCAUCAGAGGGGGCUAACAUCCGGAAACGGAUGCUUAAACCGCAUAGGUCUUCGCCCCGCAUGGAUUGCAGAGGAGAUGAGGCGCAUGCUUCUGCUGAUGGAUGGAACCGCGGUGCAUUAGCUAGUUGGUGAGGUAACGGCACACCAAGGCCGUGGUGCAUAGCCGGCCUGAGGGGGUGAACCGCCACAUUGGCACUGAGACAGGUCACACACACCGACGGGAGGCCGCAGUAGGGAAUCUUCCGCGAGGGAGGCAUGUCGGACAUAGCAACACCGCGGGAGUGAAGAAGGUUUUCUGAUCGUAAAACGCUGUUGUUAGAGAGGAACAAAUGCUAGAGUACCUGUGAGCGCCUUGACGGUAGCUAGACAAAAAGCCACGGCUAACUACGUG